GGGCGAUUAGCUCAGAUGGGAGAGCGCUUCCUUCACACGGAAGAGGUCGGCGGUUCGAUCCCGUCAUCGCCCACCA
Molecule: transfer RNA, 76 nt
Filed under: Peptococcaceae bacterium
Lineage: Bacteria; Bacillati; Bacillota; Clostridia; Eubacteriales; Peptococcaceae
Description: tRNA-Val
Rfam family: tRNA
About the family: Transfer RNA (tRNA) molecules are approximately 80 nucleotides in length. Their secondary structure includes four short double-helical elements and three loops (D, anti-codon, and T loops).
Source: RNAcentral